ACAUACCAUAACAGUUGCUGGUGACUUAUGCCUAUAAUCCUAGCUACUCAGGAGGAAGAGGUCUGAUAAUUAUGGUUUGAAAACAGCCUAAUCAGGAAAGUCUGUGACAC
This is a long non-coding RNA of Dipodomys spectabilis (banner-tailed kangaroo rat), 110 nucleotides long. RefSeq lists it as uncharacterized. NCBI's taxonomy places the organism in Eukaryota, Metazoa, Chordata, Mammalia, Rodentia, Heteromyidae. The record is from RefSeq and is a predicted model, not a curated record. The transcript has 3 exons.